RNAcentral lists this unclassified non-coding RNA (1252 nucleotides) under Hevea brasiliensis (rubber tree). Lineage: Eukaryota; Viridiplantae; Streptophyta; Magnoliopsida; Malpighiales; Euphorbiaceae. The record is from RNAcentral.
AAAAAAAAAAAAAAAAACACAAUGACAAGAGCUUCGUAAAGGCACCACGGUCCCCUACACAUCACCACCCAUCAUUGUCAUGGUCUUCAAAGUACCACCACCACCACCACCAUAGAUGUAGCGCUUGGCACGAGGCAACACUGUUGGUACCUAUCUGGCCUCCAGAUGUUACCGAGGGACUAAGAUCCUUUGGAAUCUAGUCGCCAUCCAAACCACAAGUGAAAGAAUAAUGACUAUUUUGGAAAUCAGUACCUUACCACAGCUUCUCUGACUUCUGUCAACUCAAUAGCUACCGAAGGAAAAACCAUUUGACCCUUCUGGAGUCAAAUACUUGAUUGGUCAGUUUGACCUGAAAUGUGAACAGAUUGAGACCUGUCUGUUGGCAGCUCCUAAUCUUUCCCCUCCCUUCGCCUGCCUUCAAUUCCCUGUGCAGCUGUCAAACUCGAAACUUCAUUUUGGCAUCUUAACUUAGAGAAACCAACAGGUUAGGUCAAGGAGUCAUCGAGUCUACUAGGCAAGCUCACAACCGGCUCUGCACCUGUUUUAUAUCAGAUCUUGCAGGUGCCAUGUCAAACUUCCAUUUCAGCACUACUUCACUCCCAUCUCAGUGUCACAUCACCUGAUAGUAACACAUCAUCACUGCCACAUUAGGAGUAAAAACAACUGCUAAAGGCUGAAAAUUGUGUUCCGGUGAGGUAUGCUUUUUAAUUGGAACUUAAUGUUGCGACUCACAUCGAAAGACUAAAAGAUGAAAUUGAUCACUAUAAGUGUAAUUACUGAUUUAUAUCAUUGGUUAAGUAAAUAUUUUGGUGUUCCUAUAUAUUAUAAAUAUCGAGAUAUGCAACGAAUUUUAUGAGUCUGGGAAAGAAAACUUGAAGCAUGGAAGAAAGAAUAGGUGAUAUCAAGUAUCUUUAAACUGAAAGCAGAAUUUGAUGCAAUAUCAGGAUUGAAAGCACAGUUUGAUGAGUUAUCAAAAGUUGUUAAAGAUUUAAGGCAAGAACGGAAAGAGCACUUUGAAUCCAGAAAGCAACUUGAAGAACCUGAAGCUUUGGAUGUUGAGUCUUCAUAUGUUUAAGGACCACUUCUAGGAAUGCAUGUUGAAGAAUCUGUUCUAGAACAAGAAGCUUAUGAAGCUGAGCAUGAAAAGUUUGAGGAUAGUAGCCUAGAAAUUGAAGGAAAUAAAGACAUGGGGUCUUCAAUAGAAAAUAAAAAUAAUCAAGCUAAUGAGAUGACAAUGGAAAUUGAAGAUUUU